GUAGGGGGCAAGCGUUGUCCGGAAUAAUUGGGCGUAAAGGGCGCGUAGGCGGCUCGGUAAGUCUGGAGUGAAAGUCCUGCUUUUAAGGUGGGAAUUGCUUUGGAUACUGUCGGGCUUGAGUGCAGGAGAGGUUAGUGGAAUUCCCAGUGUAGCGGUGAAAUGCGUAGAGAUUGGGAGGAACACCAGUGGCGAAGGCGACUAACUGGACUGUAACUGACGCUGAGGCGCGAAAGUGUGGGGAGCAAACAGGAUUAGAUACCCUGGUAGUCCACACUGUAAACGAUGAAUGCUAGGUGUAGGGGGUAUCGACCCCUUCUGUGCCGCAGUCAACACAAUAAGCAUUCCGUCUGGGGAGU
This 356-nucleotide ribosomal RNA is filed under the name uncultured bacterium. RNAcentral's name for it is "bacterial SSU rRNA". It matches the Rfam family "Bacterial small subunit ribosomal RNA", at positions 527 to 881 of the family's 1533-position model. The record is from RNAcentral.